AGUAAUCGUAGAUCAGCAUGCUACGGUGAAUACGUUCCCGGGUCUUGUACACACCGCCCGUCACACCACGAGAGUUUGUAACACCCGAAGCCGGUGGAGUAACCUUUUAGGAGCUAGCCGUCGAAGGUGGGACAAAUGAUUGGGGUGAAGUCGUAACAAGGUAGCCGUAUCGGAAGGUGCGGCUGGAUCACCUCCUUUCUAAGGA
This 205-nucleotide ribosomal RNA is filed under the name Staphylococcus aureus. Its description in RNAcentral is "partial 16S ribosomal RNA". It matches the Rfam family "Bacterial small subunit ribosomal RNA", at positions 1337 to 1533 of the family's 1533-position model. Lineage: Bacteria; Bacillati; Bacillota; Bacilli; Caryophanales; Staphylococcaceae. The record is from RNAcentral.